RNAcentral lists this long non-coding RNA (1066 nucleotides) under Phoenix dactylifera (date palm). Its description in RNAcentral is "long non-coding RNA (PDAC_LNC009222)". Lineage: Eukaryota; Viridiplantae; Streptophyta; Magnoliopsida; Arecales; Arecaceae. The record is from RNAcentral.
CCGGAAAGAAGAAGUGGUGUUUGAACUGUUUUCAUAUACAUGUGUGAUAAAUCCAAAAAAUGCCGGGUACAAGGCCAAAUAGGAUCGUCUUUCAGUACCAAUUCUGGCUCGACAACAUUGAAGCGGUCAAGGGAAAGGCCUCUUCCUCCCCCUCACUGCGUUCCCACUUGGGAUAGAUUUCGUUUUCUGCUCUCUCGUGCCAUUUGAACUUCUGUCUUGUCUAGCUCACGAAUGGAUGCACCUCCGGAAGAAUCUUGUAGUUUCAUAGAGAAAUGAGAUCCAUGGGUGAAAAAUCAUCUCUUUCUUGUGUCGGAAGGACUAGUGUUUGGAGCAAGCAAAGCAAGAGGCAGGCCCGCAAGGAAAACCGAUAAUUAGAUCGGUUAUUCUACAUAAAUAGAAAGAAUUCCGUAUAGUGAAUCCUGAGCAAGGAGUGAGUCCGGUCGAUCGGUAAUGAAGUGUGCCCGAUGUCUAACCGUCAAAAUGAAAGACAAGGGGCAAGAGGCCCCCGAGUGAUAGGUUCGGAACGAGCAUUUUCUAUACAGACAUAUGUCCAAAUUCUCCAAGUUUUUCAUGUUGUCUGGGGAAGGAGUUCUUUGGUUUUUAUUCAAUGUAUUACUACGUAGAAAGAAGAGUCCUUUGCCUUAGCAUGGAGCUAUAGUAGGACCUGGGUGAACAAAAGAUUUCAAGCUCUACCAUAGAGGUUGGUCCUACUAGUUAGUAGCAGUUUACAUCAACUUAGAUGAGUUGGAAUUCCCAUCUUUUUCAAGUAGGUUAAACGAGCACAUAGGAACCUCUGCUAGUAGGAUCAUAUCGAUAAAGUGCCAACCGAACCAAUCUUUAUUACUUAAAUUAACAUCCGAAGCAGGCAAGAUAGGAGCAUGAGCACCCAAACCCAUAUCAGAAAAGCCUUGGCUUAGCCAUAACGAGAUCAAUCACUCAGUCUUCGCUACAGAAGAUGCCUCUAAGCUGGAGCUUGAAACUAAAUUAGAAGCGACAGGAAUAAAGCCCUUUCUAGGGCUGUUAUGCCCGGGGUAGAAAACCAGAACAAAGAGAGAAACUCAACCUG